Non-coding RNA from Paramuricea clavata, 102 nucleotides. Lineage: Eukaryota; Metazoa; Cnidaria; Anthozoa; Malacalcyonacea; Plexauridae. The record is from the annotation of a GenBank genome assembly.
GGCGCUAUUUAGGGGGGAGGGCGAAAAAUGGAAGGGGCAAGAAAGAAAUGGCUAUUUCUUUCUCGCCCUUUCCAUUUUUCGCCCUCCCCCCUAAAUUGCGCC